GCCAAAUAUAGUAUUCUUUGGAGAAAAGUUGUUUCAAGUUUUGGUGUCUCUGCCCUACUAUUGCCCAGGGCUUGUGUUCACCUUUGUCCUUCCUUUGUUCUCAUCACCUGAGUCAGAUGAUGGACAAGACAGCUCAUGACCACGAAUCAGCCAGAGAAAGAGCUGAAGGGCCCAGCAUGAAGUCUUUGUUCCCAAGAGGUGGUGUGGUACCUGGGGACCAUUAUGACAACAUACACCACCUAGGGGGCCCUCUAUGGAUGACAGCUCCUCCUGUGAGUCACCCUUCUCCCUUCGCAGCGUGGGUCUCGACACCCUGUGCCUCUUUGCUCCCGUUUUUCUCCUGUUAUCAGAAUCUUGUCUAGAUGCUUGAGCCCCAAACACACUUCUCUACAGCCCUGGCCCUUCUGCCCAUCCUAGCGAUGCAGGAAAGAAGGCAGAAAAGAAACAAGAGAAGCCAAAGCCAUUGGCUUUCAUGUAUUUCUUCUUCUCUUUAGAGUUCAUAAAUCUGCAGUUUAUCUAAAGUUUUCCAGUGUUUUCAAAUUUGGCACCCCAGCAGCAACAGCCCAUGAACACCAGCUCUGCAGACUCAUGUACACACUUGAUAAGAUUCGCCCUGGAGCUAUGCUGCCAGUAGUCACCCGAGCUGAUGCGUGGAGCCCAGAAGAUCCGUUCUCUAAAAAUGAAGAGGAAGCCCACUAUUUUCCACAAGGGCCCAGCACUGCAGACAGUCUAAACAUGAACAGAGAAGCGUGCUUCCAGAAAUUGGAACAAAGUCCUGGGAAAGCAGAAGGAACUGGCUUAGACACGGAUUUUGAUUCUAGAAUGGACGUUGGUGAGGAACAACACAGGAGGACACAAGCAGCAUGUUAAUUCUGGCUUUUAACAGACUUCAAAAUCACAAAAAACAGUCACCGAAACCCUGAGCAGAGGUCAGCCUGUCCUAUUUGCGUGUCUCCACUUGGCGUAUUAAAGCCGCAGGGUUGCCGGGCUGGGAUGCACAUCCGGGGUUCUUCACCAAGGUACCAGUUACUCACCUGUUUCACCCCAAGACGCCUAAGCCAGCUGGAGAUGCCCCGUCCCCACUCCGGCCCUCGGUGACAUCUCACCGCAGAGGCUCGCACACCGAGGGCCGCGGCCACCCCCGCCACCCUCACUCGUUAGCGCAGACCCAGGGAGACGCCUGCGGGGUCAUGGGCCAGGUGGCGUGGACACAGGAUGUGUCACUGACUCCAUCAGAACAGCAGUCCCAUCUCUGGAAGCAUCAAGAAUUGUGCCUUCUUGAAAAUUCACCCAUAUUGACAAAUUGUUGUUUCCAAUCUUAGGUUAUGC
RNAcentral lists this long non-coding RNA (1329 nucleotides) under Vulpes vulpes (red fox). Its description in RNAcentral is "lncRNA (ENSVVUG00000017703.1)". The record is from RNAcentral. Lineage: Eukaryota; Metazoa; Chordata; Mammalia; Carnivora; Canidae.